GGGAACCUCACCAGGCCCGUACACCGGAAGGAUUGAUAGAUUGAGAGUGGUGGUGCAUGGCCGUUCUUAGUUGGUGGAGCGAUUUGUCUGGUUAAUUCCGAUAACGAACGAGACUCUGUCCUGCUAAAUAGUGUCUGCCUUUUUUUGGGCAGACAAUUCUUCUUAGAGGGACUGGCAACUCCAAGUUGCACGAAAAAGAGCAAUAA
Molecule: ribosomal RNA, 206 nt
Filed under: uncultured eukaryote
Lineage: Eukaryota
Description: partial small subunit ribosomal RNA
Rfam family: Eukaryotic small subunit ribosomal RNA
Source: RNAcentral